AUGGGUGUCUCAGAUGCAAUGCAAUGGUUGAGGGUGCUGGUGUGGAUGGCGCACAUAGGCGGGGAUGCCCUAGCGGUCUACGCUCUCGCCAUCCUCUUCAACCGCCAAAAGCAGCAAACUGCUGAUGUGGAGAGCGACGCUCUCGAGCUCAUAUGGGUGCCUUUCCUCCUCAUUCACCUCGGAGGCCAGAACAUAAGUGCCUACAGCCUCGAGGACAAUGAGCUUUGGAAGCGGCAUGUCAUAACUCUGGUGUCACAAGUCGCGGUCGCCUUGUACAUCUUCUGCAAGUGGUGGUCCGGCCAGAAGAAACUCCUUCAGGCGGCAGUCUUGCUCUUUGUCGUUGGCAUCCUCAAGUUCACUCAGAAGCCAUGGGCCCUCCGGAGGGCCAGCUUCAAUAGCAUGGCUUCCAGAAGUCUGUCCGUGCAAAGAGAAAAAGGAUACAUUCCUCCAUGUUGGACAUGGUGCACUGUGAAUUGCGGGGAUUUUGCUUCAGUGGGGCGGGAAGGAGAGGAAGGACACAAACGCAAUCUUUCACUUGAAGAAUAUGCAAAAGAUGCAAAGAAGCUUGUAAAAGAGACGGAGCUGGCGAGUGGAAAUGACCAAAGAACAGCAUAUCAAAAGUUUCGACGCCGUGCAAUGAACUACAUCUCUAUGAUGCUGGUGGAUCUAUCUACUCGGUACUCUGUUCGUCUUAACUAUCUGCAGUAUUUCCUCAAGCUGGAUGACAAGUAUGGACACAAAAUUUUACGGAUAUGGGCUAGGGAUACAUAUGGUGCCUUGUACACCAAAACAAGAUCACUCAACAGUUGUGUUGGCUUCUGCUCAUGGUUCUUGCUUCCGUUCCUGACAUUAGCUUCCCUGGUGCUCUUCGUCAAGAGUAACAAGGAUGGUUACAAUAAGAACGACGUGAUAGUAUCAUACAUCCUGUUUGCUUGCACAGUCAUGAUUCAAUUGUUGCCCUUUGUGCUCAGGCUCGGAAGCAAAACUGCUACUUGGCCAGACAUGGUUUCACAGCACAAUCUCAUGUGCUUCUGUGCUCGCAAGAAGCAGCCCACCACUUUGAUGAAACUUGCUGCCUUCAAGUGCUUCAGGGAGUACACUAACAAGCAUUGGUACAAUUGGCAGGUGCCUGCGGCCUUUGAGAUUGAAGGGUUGAUUCGCCGGUACAUAAAAGAUGGGUGGGAGUGCAUACAUGAUGCUGCCACAUACAGAAGAUUCAACAAUCUCAGGGGACAACAGGCUCUGUCGAAGCACCCUCAGCUGGGACAACAACUCGGUUGGAGCCUCAACCUACCGUUCGACGAGAUUGUCCUUGUGUGGCACAUAGCCACAGACCUCUGCUUCUACCACCCCAACACAUCCUCCCAAGGUCUAAGUGGAGACACCACCCUACGCAGCAGGCAGAUAUCCAACUACAUGAUCCACCUGCUUUUCAUGUGUCCUGAGAUGCUAAUGCCAGGGACGAGACAAGAUUGGUUCACAGUUGCUUGCAAUGAUAUCAAGCACAUUCUCACGGACCAGAAUGAUCCACGAAGCAUUGCACAGAGGAUUCUUCUCAUGGAACAUGGUGAACUUAAAGGAGAUGUCGUUCCCAAUGCGCACAAACUCGCAAAGAAGCUCAUGGAACACCCCAACGAGGAAGAGAGGUGGAAGGUGAUCCAAGGUGUGUGGGUGGAGAUGCUCUGUUAUUCUGCCAGUAGGUGCAGAGGCUACCUGCAUGCCAAGAGCCUGGGUGAUGGCGGGGAGUUCCUCACAAAUGUCUGGUUCUUAUGGUCGUUGAUGGGAAUGGAAAUCCUGGGCGACAAGAUCCACAUACCAAGUCAGCUUCUUGAAGAAGAGAUCUGCAUAACAAGUCAACCUCUUGAAAUAGAAAUCAUGGAUGCUCCCGUUUGA
Molecule: ribosomal RNA, 1893 nt
Filed under: Triticum aestivum (bread wheat)
Lineage: Eukaryota; Viridiplantae; Streptophyta; Magnoliopsida; Poales; Poaceae
Description: partial small subunit ribosomal RNA
Source: RNAcentral